UAACAGGAAAUUUAAGAGCAUAUGGUGGAUGCCUUGGUUCUAAGAGGCGAUGAAAGACGUAGCAUGGUUGCGAUAAGCUUCGGGGAGGUGCCUAGCAACCUUUGAUCCGGAGAUUUCUGAAUGGGGAAACCCACUUACUGUAAUAGGUAAGGACUCUGUAUAAGAGAGCAUACCCAGGGAAGUGAAACAUCUCAGUACCUGGAGGAAAAUAAAAAAAGCCGCCGAAUGGCGGAACAUUUCCUGAGUAGCGGCGAGCGAAACGGAAAUAGCCCAAACCGCGCUACACACAGUUUAUAAAAUUUAUAAAUUUUGUAGUUUGUGUGUAGCGCGGGGUUGUAAGGCAAAGACGUCGUAUUUAUACGAGAAAAGUUACAAAAUGUAAUGUUAGUUGAACGCGCUGGAAAGCGCGGCCCUAGACGGUGAUAGCCCGGUAAACGAAAACAUUACGUCUUUUUUGUCUUUGUUCUUGAGUACUUCGAGACACGAAUAGCUCGGGGGAAUCUACCAGAACUAACUGGUAAGGCUAAAUACUCUUAGAAACCGAUAGUGAAC
This is a non-coding RNA of Candidatus Nomurabacteria bacterium CG1_02_43_90, 552 nucleotides long. NCBI's taxonomy places the organism in Bacteria, Candidatus Nomuraibacteriota. The record is from Rfam.